UAGUCCACGCCCUAAACGAUGGAUACUAGUCGUCGGAAAUCUAAUCGUUUCGGUGACGUAGCUAACGCAUUAAGUAUCCCGCCUGGGAAUUACGGUCGCAAGAUUAAAACUCAAAGGAAUUGACGGGGGCCCGCACAAGCGGUGGAGCAUGUGGUUUAAUUCGAUGCUACGCGAAGAACCUUACCUGGGCUUGACAUCCCGGGCUAUCCUAGGAAACUAGGAGUUCCCUUCGGGGACCCGGUGACAGGUGCUGCAUGGCUGUCGUCAGCUCGUGUUGUGAGAUGUUGGGUUAAGUCCCGCAACGAGCGUAACCCUCGCCCCUAGUUACCAGCAUUUAGUUGGGCACUCUAGGGGGACCGCUUGGCUAUAAGCCAGAGGAAGGUGGGGAUGACGUCAAGUCCUCAUGGCCUUUAUGUCCAGGGCUACACACGUGCUACAAUGGGAGAUACAAUGCGCAGCUAACUCGCGAGAGUACGCUAAUCGCAAAAAGUCUUUCUCAGUUCGGAUUGGAGUCUGCAACUCGA
Molecule: ribosomal RNA, 524 nt
Filed under: uncultured bacterium
Lineage: Bacteria
Description: bacterial SSU rRNA
Rfam family: Bacterial small subunit ribosomal RNA
Source: RNAcentral